Molecule: transfer RNA, 72 nt
Filed under: Camelus bactrianus (Bactrian camel)
Lineage: Eukaryota; Metazoa; Chordata; Mammalia; Artiodactyla; Camelidae
Also listed under: 2 other names
Rfam family: tRNA
About the family: Transfer RNA (tRNA) molecules are approximately 80 nucleotides in length. Their secondary structure includes four short double-helical elements and three loops (D, anti-codon, and T loops).
Source: Rfam by way of RNAcentral
GAGGGUGUAGCUCAGGGGUAGAGUGCACGCUUAGCGCUCACAGAGUCCUGGGUCCAAUCCCCAGCACCUCCA